Molecule: ribosomal RNA, 406 nt
Filed under: uncultured bacterium
Lineage: Bacteria
Description: partial 16S ribosomal RNA
Rfam family: Bacterial small subunit ribosomal RNA
Source: RNAcentral
ACGAACGCUGGCGGCUGCUUAACACAUGCAAGUCGAACGGAGUGGCGAACGGGUGAGUAACGCGUGAGCAACCUGACUAUGACAGUGGGAUAGCCUCGGGAAACCGGGAUUAAUACAGCAUAGUCAUAGAUGGGCUCGCGUCUGAUUAGCUAGUUGGUGAGAUAACAGCCCACCAAGGCGACGAUCAGGAGCCGGUCUGAUAAGAUGAACGGCCACAUGGGAACUGAUACACGGUCCAAACGCCUACGGGAUGCAGCAGUGGGGAAUAUUGCACAAUGGGGGAAACCCUGAUGCAGCGACGCCGCGUGAACGAAGAAGGUAUUCGUAUCGUAAAGUUCUGGCCUAUGGGAAGCAGUGCCAUAGAAGAAAGCUCCGGAUAAAUACGUGCCAGUAGGCGCGGUAAUUC